RNAcentral lists this ribosomal RNA (634 nucleotides) under uncultured bacterium. RNAcentral's name for it is "bacterial SSU rRNA". It matches the Rfam family "Bacterial small subunit ribosomal RNA", at positions 56 to 689 of the family's 1533-position model. The record is from RNAcentral.
UGCAGUCGACGGUAACAGCACUUCGGUGGCUGACGAGUGGCGAACGGGUGAGUAAUACAUCGGAACGUGCCCGAGAGUGGGGGAUAACGCAGCGAAAGCUGUGCUAAUACCGCAUACGAUCUACGGAUGAAAGCAGGGGACCGCAAGGCCUUGCGCUCAUGGAGCGGCCGAUGGCAGAUUAGGUAGUUGGUGGGAUAAAAGCUUACCAAGCCGACGAUCUGUAGCUGGUCUGAGAGGACGACCAGCCACACUGGGACUGAGACACGGCCCAGACUCCUACGGGAGGCAGCAGUGGGGAAUUUUGGACAAUGGGCGAAAGCCUGAUCCAGCCAUGCCGCGUGCAGGAUGAAGGCCUUCGGGUUGUAAACUGCUUUUGUACGGAACGAAAAGGUCUUUUCUAAUAAAGAAGGCUCAUGACGGUACCGUAAGAAUAAGCACCGGCUAACUACGUGCCAGCAGCCGCGGUAAUACGUAGGGUGCAAGCGUUAAUCGGAAUUACUGGGCGUAAAGCGUGCGCAGGCGGUUAUAUAAGACAGAUGUGAAAUCCCCGGGCUCAACCUGGGAACUGCAUUAUUGACUGUAUAGCUAGAGUGCGGCAGAGGGGGAUGGAAUUCCGCGUGUAGCAGUGAAAUGC